Molecule: ribosomal RNA, 253 nt
Filed under: uncultured bacterium
Lineage: Bacteria
Description: partial 16S ribosomal RNA
Rfam family: Bacterial small subunit ribosomal RNA
Source: RNAcentral
UACGUAGGGUGCAAGCGUUGUCCGGAAUUAUUGGGCGUAAAGAGCUCGUAGGCGGUCUGUCGCGUCUGCUGUGAAAACUCAGGGCUUAACCCUGAGCUUGCAGUGGGUACGGGCAGACUAGAGUGCGGUAGGGGAGACUGGAAUUCCUGGUGUAGCGGUGAAAUGCGCAGAUAUCAGGAGGAACACCCGUGGCGAAGGCGGGUCUCUGGGCCGUAACUGACGCUGAGGAGCGAAAGCAUGGGGAGCGAACAGG